AUUGAACGCUGGCGGCAUGCCUUACACAUGCAAGUCGAACGGCAGCACGGGAGCAAUCCUGGUGGCGAGUGGCGAACGGGUGAGUAAUAUAUCGGAACGUGCCCGGUCGUGGGGGAUAACGUAGCGAAAGCUACGCUAAUACCGCAUACGAUCUACGGAUGAAAGCGGGGGAUCGCAAGACCUCGCGCGAUUGGAGCGGCCGAUAUCAGAUUAGGUAGUUGGUGAGGUAAAGGCUCACCAAGCCGACGAUCUGUAGCUGGUCUGAGAGGACGACCAGCCACACUGGGACUGAGACACGGCCCAGACUCCUACGGGAGGCAGCAGUGGGGAAUUUUGGACAAUGGGCGCGAAGCCUGAGUCCAGCAAUGCCGCGGUGCAGGAUGAAGGCC
This 389-nucleotide ribosomal RNA is filed under the name uncultured bacterium. Its description in RNAcentral is "bacterial SSU rRNA". It matches the Rfam family "Bacterial small subunit ribosomal RNA", at positions 29 to 416 of the family's 1533-position model. The record is from RNAcentral.